Molecule: long non-coding RNA, 516 nt
Organism: Canis lupus familiaris (dog)
Lineage: Eukaryota; Metazoa; Chordata; Mammalia; Carnivora; Canidae
Exons: 3
Source: RefSeq, a predicted model, not a curated record
AUUAAAUCAACCAUUGGGCAUUCUUUGGAUGAAAUAUCAUGUGCUGAUGUGAAAGGUUUUCUAGGCCACCAUUUAAGGAGAAAUUCACAAGAAUGCAUAUGAAGAUCACAGUUGUUUAAAGAUGAAGGAAGUGCCCUGGCUCCUGUGACCUGGUUUUAAACAGCUGCUUCUUCUACUCUCUGUCACAAAGAUCCAGAAGGACACAAGGUGUUUUGUCUCUGAGCUCUGUCCCUGUUGCUGUUUUAUUGAUUUCCAAUUCUGGAAAGUAUUGUAAAAGGGAAACAAGUGACUCUUUACCCUGUCCCCUUUCUUGAUGAUUGGAAUUCAGAUGUGAUGACUGGAGCUUGAGCAGCCAAAUUGGGCCAUGAAGUGGAAGCUAUCUGGCAGAGAAUGGUGGAGCCACAAGUUAAAGGGAGCUUGGGUCUUUCAUGAUUGUGGAGCCACAUAGCACUUCUGAGCUGUCAGUCUUCAGAUUUCUCUUUUCUCAUACAUUAAAUAUUCAUAUCCUUAACUUGA